AGUCGAGCGGUAACAUUUCUAGCUUGCUAGAAGAUGACGAGCGGCGGACGGGUGAGUAAUACUUAGGAAUCUACCUAGUAGUGGGGGAUAGCUCGGGGAAACUCGAAUUAAUACCGCAUACGACCUACGGGAGAAAGGGGGCAACUUGUUGCUCUCGCUAUUAGAUGAGCCUAAGUCGGAUUAGCUAGCCCCUUAAUAAAGGCCUACCAUGGCGACGAUCUGUAGCUGGUCUGAGAGGAUGAUCAGCCACACCGGGACUGAGACACGGCCCGGACUCCUACGGGAGGCAGCAGUGGGGAAUAUUGGACAAUGGGGGAAACCCUGAUCCAGCCAUGCCGCGUGUGUGAAGAAGGCCAUCGCGCGGUUGUAAAGCACUUUAAGCAGUGAAGAAGACUCUUCGGUUAAUACCCGGAGACGAUGACAUUAGCUGCAGAAUAAGCACCGGCUAACUCUGUGCCAGCAGCCGCGGUAAUACAGAGGGUGCAAGCGUUAAUCGGAAUUACUGGGCGUAAAGCGAGCGUAGGUGGCUUGAUAAGUCAGAUGUGAAAUCCCCGGGCUUAACCUGGGAACUGCAUCUGAUACUGUCAGGCUAGAGUAGGUGAGAGGAAGGUAGAAUUUCCAGGUGUAGCGGUGAAAUGCGUAGAGAUCUGGAGGAAUACCGAUGGCGAAGGCAGCCUUCUGGCAUCAUACUGACACUGAGGCUCGAAAGCGUGGGUAGCCUCUCUCUCUCACCCUGGUAGUCCACGCCGUAAACGAUGUCUACUAGUCGUUGGGUCCCUUGAGGACUUAGUGACGCAGCUAACGCAAUAAGUAGACCGCCUGGGGAGUACGGCCGCAAGGUUAAAACUCAAAUGAAUUGACGGGGGCCCGCACAAGCGGUGGAGCAUGUGGUUUAAUUCGAUGCAACG
RNAcentral lists this ribosomal RNA (908 nucleotides) under Psychrobacter alimentarius. RNAcentral describes it as "bacterial SSU rRNA". It matches the Rfam family "Bacterial small subunit ribosomal RNA", at positions 60 to 961 of the family's 1533-position model. The record is from RNAcentral. Lineage: Bacteria; Pseudomonadati; Pseudomonadota; Gammaproteobacteria; Moraxellales; Moraxellaceae.